AUGCCCCUCCUGCUCUCUGAAGCUCCCUCCACAGACUCCUCCACCCCAGAACCUUCCGACAGGUAAGCUUCAAACCCUUCAUACCUAUCCAGUUCCCUAGCUCCUGGCCAGCCUCUAACUGUUCAGCCCCCGAACCCCCUGUUUCCACCCACCCUGAACCAGGGGAUCUCUGCAGGUUGUGCUGACUCCCCCAUGGCCUUGUGGCCACCAGGGGAUGCUGGGGAAAUCCUCUCCACCUGAGCAAAUCAGAACUUCCUGUAGGACACAGGUGUCAGGAUCAGCUUCUGGUUGAGCUGGUUGAUAUUCUAGGUAGCGCACCUUGAAGUUUCUCAGGAUUGACAGUCAUUGUGUCUGUUCUAAAGAAGGUGAAGGAAUUUGAUGGAAAGAAAGUAGGAAGAGUCGCCCAGACUUGCAGGCUGCCUCCUGUACUUAUUCUGAGAACGUGUUCACAUGGCAUAGGCGUUUCCUUUUGUGGCCAUUUGUAAGAAUGGGAAAUGAAUGACUUUUUUUUUUUUUUUUUGAGACGGAGUCUCACUCUGUCACCCAGGCUGGAGUGCAGUGGCGUGAUCUCGCCUCACUGCCAGCUCCGCCUCCCAGGUUCACGCCAUUCUGCUGCCUCAGCCUCCCAAGUAACUGGGACUACAGGCCCCCGCCACCAAGCCAGGCUAAUUUUUUUGUUUUUUUUUUAGUAGAGACAGGUUUCACCGUGUUAGUCAGGAUGGUCUCAAUCUCCUGACCUCAUGAUCCACCCGCCUUGGCCUCCCAAAGUGCUGGGAUUACAGGUGUGAGCCACUGCGCCUGACCAGGAAAUGACUUAUUCUUACAAAUGACCACAGAGAUGAGUUCUCCCUGUGUUGCCCAAGCUGGUCUGGAACUCCUGGGCUCAAGCAAUCCUCCCACCUCCCAGUGUUGAGAUUAUAGAUUCUCCAUCCUUCUCUUAAUUGAAGAUUGUGUUUUUCAAGCUAUGGUUCAUCAUUGCUGCUUUCCUUACAAAAUGAAUUCGAAUGGCAAUCAGCAUUUUCUUAAGGAAUAUAGUAGAUUUAAUUACAUAAAAAGAAUUGAAAAUAUCAGAGACUAUUGUACAUAACUAUUUACGUUCCAUGAAAUUGUUAGUAUACACACACAUCCCUGAACUAGGUCAGGACGUAAAGUAUACUUAGUAUACUUGGUUAAGAUGAAAAUAUUUUGAAAAGACCAUUUAAGAAGAAAAUGACCCUAGAAUUCAUCUGGAGCUUCCAGUUAGGAGGCUAGAGCUUCCUGUUCCAGGAAGGCUUGGUGCUCCGGGAGAGAGUGAGUCCCCUGGUGAAAGGUUCAGGCUGAGGGAAGCCCAGGCCCUGGCAGUUCCCCCUGACCCUCCACCCGACAUAUGGAGGCUGGAAGGCCCACCUGUGUUGUCUCACUUUUCUCCCUUUUAGGUAUGUCUAGAGGUCAGUUUGGACAGGGACAGGAACCUCUAGACAUGUUUUUCUGGGUGAACGAGAUAAGCGGAGAAAUCACCUACCCCCCGCAGAAGGCAGAUGCACCUGCUGUUUCUCCUGAGAGCCCACAAAAGAAGCCCCCAUUUCAGCCCAGGAGUGUGCAGGAGGCUCCUUGCAGUCCCCAGGGCCCGCCUGCACAGAGGCCUGCCCUUGCACCUCCAUCUAAGCCUUCUCUGAAAGACUCAGGCUCAAGAAACCCCUGCCCAUCUGCACCCACCUGGGCCAGGCCAAAGCCGGAGGAGUGAGGAGCCCCCACCGUUCUCAGCAAUCCCUGUCACCAUCUCAUCACCAGGAGUGACUCUGCCCAUACUCGGACCCCUGGGACCAGCCCUUCAGCCACCGGUCUCGACCUCUCCUCUCAGCCCUUCUGCACCCUGGGCCUUCACCUGCAAGCUGAACAAUGUCCUUACUGGGAAUAACUGGUUUUCCUUUUGAAUCUUAAGAAAAUUUGUCUGGCUACACUCUUUAAGCACCUUCCUGAGCCACCCGUGGCCAGGCUCUGCUGGCCGCAUCUGCCUGGCCCCAUCUACCUUCCCUGGAAGCACAGGACUCACCCCAGGGGUCUCACAGGAACAUGCCCAGUGCUUUCAAACCCAGUAAAAUUUUACUUAGAUUUUG
RNAcentral lists this long non-coding RNA (2096 nucleotides) under Homo sapiens (human). RNAcentral's name for it is "HSALNT0311526". Lineage: Eukaryota; Metazoa; Chordata; Mammalia; Primates; Hominidae. The record is from RNAcentral.